RNAcentral lists this ribosomal RNA (394 nucleotides) under uncultured bacterium. Its description in RNAcentral is "partial 16S ribosomal RNA". It matches the Rfam family "Bacterial small subunit ribosomal RNA", at positions 338 to 729 of the family's 1533-position model. The record is from RNAcentral.
CCUACGGGAGGCAGCAGUGAGGAAUAUUGGUCAAUGGGCGCGAGCCUGAACCAGCCAAGUAGCGUGAAGGAUGACUGCCCUACGGGUUGUAAACUUCUUUUAUAAAGGAAUAAAGUGAGGCACGUGUGCCUGUUUGUGUGUACUUUAUGAAUAAGGAUCGGCUAACUCCGUGCCAGCAGCCGCGGUAAUACGGAGGAUCCGAGCGUUAUCCGGAUUUAUUGGGUUUAAAGGGAGCGUAGAUGGGUUGUUAAGUCAGUUGGUAAAGUGUGCGGCUCAACCGUCAAAUUGCCAUUGAUACUGGCAGUCUUGAGUAGAGUUGAGGUAGGCGGAAUUCGUGGUGUAGCGGUGAAAUGCUUAGAUAUCACGAAGAACUCCGAUUGCGAAGGCAGCUUAC